This is a small nucleolar RNA of Octodon degus (degu), 132 nucleotides long. Lineage: Eukaryota; Metazoa; Chordata; Mammalia; Rodentia; Octodontidae. The record is from Ensembl.
CCCCUCUAGUUCCCUUUUCCUAUCAGAUCUGAACACUAGUCUUGGUGGUCAUAAAGGAGGAAAAGGAAUCCUGAAUCUGGCCUCACAGGCUUAUGGUCUGAUAUGUUGCAUGUGGGCUAGUUUCAAACAAGG